UUCAUCAAGAGUAGUGGAGGGAACGGCCCGUAGAAGCUACAGCAACCGGCGAUGAGUAUAUUCAUUGAAGCGGUGCUACAUCCGGCAGAGUUUUCUGAAAGAUGAGU
RNAcentral lists this non-coding RNA (107 nucleotides) under Veillonella magna. RNAcentral's name for it is "SAM riboswitch (S box leader)". It matches the Rfam family "SAM riboswitch aptamer (S box leader)". Rfam says of the family: The SAM riboswitch is found upstream of a number of genes which code for proteins involved in methionine or cysteine biosynthesis in Gram-positive bacteria. The SAM riboswitch acts at the level of transcription termination control. The record is from RNAcentral. Lineage: Bacteria; Bacillati; Bacillota; Negativicutes; Veillonellales; Veillonellaceae.